RNAcentral lists this ribosomal RNA (541 nucleotides) under uncultured bacterium. RNAcentral describes it as "bacterial SSU rRNA". It matches the Rfam family "Bacterial small subunit ribosomal RNA", at positions 777 to 1305 of the family's 1533-position model. The record is from RNAcentral.
AAUAGAUACCCGGGUAGUCCUAGCUGUAAACGAUGAGCACUGGAUUGAAGGACCCUCCAUAGUCUUUCAGUUCGUAGCGAAAGUGUUAAGUGCUCCGCCUGGGGGAGUAUGGUCGCAAGGCUGAAACUCGAAAGGAAUUGACGGGGGCUCACACAAGCGGUGGAGGAUGUGGCUUAAUUCGAGGCUACGCGAAGAACCUUAUCCUAGUCUUGACAUGUACGGAUUAACCCCCUGGGAAACAGGGGCCACGCCUUCGGGUGGAACGUGCACAGGUGCUGCAUGGCUGUCGUCAGCUCGUGUCGUGAGAUGUCGGGUUAAGUCCCUUAACGAGCGAAACCCUUGUCUCUAGUUGCCAGCGAGUAAUGUCGGGGACUCUAGAGAGACCGCCGGUGUUAAACCGGAGGAAGGUGGGGAUGACGUCAAGUCCUCAUGGCCUUUAUGACUAGGGCUGCACACGUCCUACAAUGGCACGCACAAAGGGGAUGCUAACUCGCGAGAGCAAGCAAAUCCCAAAAAUCGUGCCCUAGUUCGGAUUGCAGGC